Molecule: non-coding RNA, 202 nt
Filed under: Mucilaginibacter sp.
Lineage: Bacteria; Pseudomonadati; Bacteroidota; Sphingobacteriia; Sphingobacteriales; Sphingobacteriaceae
Also listed under: 1 other name
Source: RNAcentral
ACUUUAUCAACCGGAAAAGGUUCUCUCAUAAGUACAAUACUUUGGGAGAUUAAAAGGGAACCAUGUGUAAAUCAUGGGCUGUCGCGCAACUGUGAGUAGGGUAAAAGUUUCGGCCAUUAAUGUCCACUGGGUGCUAAGUGCACCUGGAAAGGAGGGCCGGAAUACUAUAAGCCAGGAUACCAGCCUGUUUCCGGAAGGACAA